CCUACGGGAGGCAGCAGUGAGGAAUAUUGGUCAAUGGGCGGAAGCCUGAACCAGCCAAGUCGCGUGAGGGAAUAAUGCCCUACGGGUUGUAAACCUCUUUUGUCGGGGAGCAAGGGCGGGGACGUGUCCCUGCCUGGAGAGUAUCCGGAGAUAAAGCACUGGCUAACCCCGUGCCAGCAGCCGCGGUAAUACGGGGGAUGCGAUCGUUAUCCGAAUUUAUUGGGUUUAAGGGGUGCGUAGGCGGGCUUUUAAGUCAGCGGUAAAAAUUCGGGGCUCAACCCCGUCCGGCCGUUGAUACUGGGGGCCUUGAGUGGGCGAGAAGAAGGCGGAAUGCGUGGUGUAGCGGUGAAAUGCAUAGAUAUCACGCAGAACCCCGAUUGCGAAGGCAGCCUUCCGGCGCCCUACUGACGCUGAGGCACGAAAGUGCGGGGAUCGAACAGGAUUAGAUACCCGUGUAGUC
Molecule: ribosomal RNA, 460 nt
Filed under: uncultured bacterium
Lineage: Bacteria
Description: partial 16S ribosomal RNA
Rfam family: Bacterial small subunit ribosomal RNA
Source: RNAcentral